Molecule: long non-coding RNA, 213 nt
Organism: Microplitis mediator
Lineage: Eukaryota; Metazoa; Arthropoda; Insecta; Hymenoptera; Braconidae
Exons: 3
Source: RefSeq, a predicted model, not a curated record
CAAGUAUUGGAAUUAUUUUUUCUUCUUUUCUGACAAAUACUUCAGCUGCUGUUAUAAAUAAUAUACAAUAUAGUGAAGUAACGAAGAAAUGUCUGGAUCAAAAUUGUGAAAAAUCGUAUUCAGAACUCUCUAAACGAAUUAAUAAAACGCUAAAUAAAAAUGCAAAUCCUUGUGACAACAUUCAAGAAUUUGUUUGUGGUCACUCUGGUUCUU